Molecule: unclassified non-coding RNA, 295 nt
Filed under: Pleosporales sp.
Lineage: Eukaryota; Fungi; Ascomycota; Dothideomycetes; Pleosporales
Description: partial contains 5.8S ribosomal RNA, internal transcribed spacer 2, and large subunit ribosomal RNA
Rfam family: 5.8S ribosomal RNA (bases 1-71)
Source: RNAcentral
GUGAGUCAUCGAAUCUUUGAACGCACAUUGCGCCCCUUGGUAUUCCAUGGGGCAUGCCUGUUCGAGCGUCAUUUACACCCUCAAGCUCUGCUUGGUGUUGGGCGUCUGUCCCCCCGCCCCGGUGCGGACUCGCCUCAAAGACAUUGGCGGCGGCCUUUGCCAGCUUCUCGCGCAGCGAAAAUUGCGCUUCUCGAAGCAUGACACGCGGCUCGCGUCCACGAAGUCCACCUCUAUGACUUGACCUCGGAUCAGGUAGGGAUACCCGCUGAACUUAAGCAUAUCAAUAAGCGGAGGA